This 1461-nucleotide long non-coding RNA is filed under the name Sorghum bicolor (sorghum). RNAcentral's name for it is "long non-coding RNA (SBIC_LNC015049)". The record is from RNAcentral. Lineage: Eukaryota; Viridiplantae; Streptophyta; Magnoliopsida; Poales; Poaceae.
CAGGCUACAAGUGAAGUUUGAGUUACAUGAAAUGACGGUUUACAUAGCUCUACUACAUGAAAUGACGAUGUUUUCUUAUCUUCCUCUCUUGUGUGUCGGCAUCUAGUGAAGUUUGAGCUACAUGAAAUGACGGUUUUACAUAGCUCUACUAUAUGAGAUGAUGAUGUUUUCGUGUCUUCCUCUCUUGUCUGCAGUCUAGCAGUGAAGUUUGAGUUACAUGAAAUGAAGGUUCAAAUAGCGCUACUAUAUGAAAUGACGAUGUUUUCUUGUCUUCCUCUCUUAUCUGCAGGCUACCAGUGAAGUUUGAGUUACAUGAAAUGACGAUGUCUUCUUGUCUUCCUCUCUUGUCUGCAGGCUACAAGUGAAGUUUGAGUUACAUGAAAUGACGAUGUUUUCUUGUCUUCCUCUCUUGUCUGCAGGCUACCAGUGAAGUUUGAGUUAUAUGAAAUGAUGAUGUUUUCUUGUCUUCCUCUCUUGUCUGCAGGCUACAAGUGAAGUUUGAGUUACAUGAAAUGACAGUUUACAUAGCUCUACUACAUGAAAUGAUGAUGUUUUAUUGUCUUCCUCUCUUGUGUGUCGGCAUCUAGUGAAGUUUGAGCUACAAGAAAUGACAGUUCAAAUAGCUCCACUAUAUGAAAUGAUGAUGUUUUCUUGUCUUUCUCUCUUGUCUGCAGGCUAGCAGUGAAGUUUGAGUUACAUUACAUGAAGGUUCAAAUAGCGCUACUAUAUGAAAUGACGAUGUUUUCUUGUCUUCCUCUCUUCUCUGCAGGCUACCAGUGAAGUAAACAAGGCCUGAAUGGAAAAAGAAACAAAAAAAGAAAUCAGACUAACUAGGUUCAGAAGAUUCGUCUUGCAAAUUACAAGUAAACUGUGUAAUUAGUUUUUAUUUUCAUUUAUAUUUGGUACUUCAUGCAUGCGACCAGAGAUUCGAUGUGACAGGGAAUCUUGAAAAUUUUUGUGAACUAAACAAGGCCUGAAUGGAAAAAGAAACCAAAAAAAAGAAAUCAGACUAACUAGGUUUAAAAGAUUCGUCUCGCAAAUUAUAAGUAAACUGUGUAAUUAGUUUUUAUUUUCGUUUAUAUUUGGUACUUCAUGCAUGCGACCAGAGAUUCGAUGUGAUAGGGAAUCUUGAAAAUUUUUGUGAACUAAACAAGGCCUGAAUGGAAAAAGAAACAAAAAAAAAGAAAUCUUUGCCGUGUGCCCCUGGCAGGCACACGACAAACCUAGUCAAAAAAAAAAUAAAAAAGCUGUUUGCCGUGUAUUUAAAAAUCUUUGCCGUGUACCAGAUCGCGGGCACACGGCAAAGUAAUUAAAAAAAAUAAAAAUUCUUUGCCAUGUGCCAGAUCACGGGCACACGGCAAAGAGUCCGUUUUUGGAGGCACCCACCCCGCACACGCCCGCAGACAGACACGCACACCACACCCGCGCCCGCCGUGCCCUCCCGCCGUGCCCGCCCGCCCC